This 119-nucleotide ribosomal RNA is filed under the name Pteropus alecto (black flying fox). Lineage: Eukaryota; Metazoa; Chordata; Mammalia; Chiroptera; Pteropodidae. The record is from RNAcentral.
GUCUAUGGCCAUGCCACCCUGAACAAGCCCGAUCCCAUCUGAUCUCAGAAGCUAAGCAGAGUCGGGCCUGGUUAGUGCUUGGAUGGGAGACCACCUAGGAAGACCAGGUCCUGUAGGCA